Long non-coding RNA from Pogoniulus pusillus (Red-fronted tinkerbird), 818 nucleotides. RefSeq lists it as uncharacterized. Lineage: Eukaryota; Metazoa; Chordata; Aves; Piciformes; Lybiidae. The transcript has 4 exons. The record is from RefSeq and is a predicted model, not a curated record.
GUGCUGGCGGCGCCUCCCUUGCUGCCUGCUCUCAGGCGUCUGUGGGCCUGGCCCCUCGGGCUGGCCAGAGGGCUCUGGCAGGCCACAUCUGCCUCAAAAGCAGUCCUCGCCUAAGCCUCGAGCACGGCCCCACAGGCCCGGGCAGCCACCGAGGACCUUGGCGCGGAUUCCCCUCAGGGGUCCUCAGGACUGCCCCUGUGGUGGUUAAACAGCCUCAGCCUGUGUGCUGCGCUGUCGGUCCCGUUCCUGGGACAGAGCUGGGGAUGCCAAGCACAGGCCGUGCUGUGUGCGCACCUCACCGCUGCGCAGUGUGUUCCAAAGUAAAGCGUGGAGAUCUCUGUGUGGUGGUGGCAGCUUGGUUCCUCGUGGGGCAUUCUCAAGGCAACUCGGAAUGCUGCGUUGCGAAAAAAAUGAAAGGAUUUGAAAAGCAGCCAUACUAGCAAAAGGAAGAAGAAGAGGAAAUGGCAACUGGGAGAAACAGAAAAACUAGGAAGAACAUAGAAAGUGUACACCUAAAGAGUAAGCUGAUUUGCUUAAGGGCAUCUAGGAAGAUCAUUACUUUGUUUAAUUGCUUGGAUGUGAGACUUCAGAAGGGAAAAUGGGAAAGCUGUCUUCUCAUCUUAAAAAGGGCACUGAAUGUACUUAUUUACUGUAAGCUGUGAUUCAAAAAAUCUGGGAAGUUUGCGACCUGAAGACUGUGGUCAAAUCCUAAUUACAUACAGUGACCAAAGCCAGGGUUGUGUCUGCCAGUGCCUCUCUGCUGUGUUCAAACUGCUUCAUGCAGUUUUGAGUAAGCUUGAAAUUCACUGUUGUCUGUU